UUGUUCGCAAUGGGCGCAAGCCUGACGACGCAACGCCGCGUGGAGGACGAAGAUCUUCGGGUCGUAAACUCCUUUCGAUCGGGACGAAUGGCUGGUGGUCGAAUACGCCACCGGAAUGACGGUACCGAGAGAAGAAGCACCGGCCAACUACGUGCCAGCAGCCGCGGUAAUACGUAGGGUGCGAGCGUUGUCCGGAAUUAUUGGGCGUAAAGGGCUCGUAGGCGGUUUGUCGCGUCGGGAGUGAAAACACUGGGCUUAACUCAGUGCUUGCUUCCGAUACGGGCAGACUAGAGGUAUGCAGGGGAGAACGGAAUUCCUGGUGUAGCGGUGAAAUGCGCAGAUAUCAGGAGGAACACCGGUGGCGAAGGCGGUUCUCUGGGCAUUACCUGACGCUGAGGAGCGAAAGUGUGGGGAGCGAAC
This 420-nucleotide ribosomal RNA is filed under the name uncultured bacterium. Its description in RNAcentral is "bacterial SSU rRNA". It matches the Rfam family "Bacterial small subunit ribosomal RNA", at positions 362 to 773 of the family's 1533-position model. The record is from RNAcentral.